CUCAUACUUAUAAAUGUAUAUGAAUUUUUAUUAAUAAAAGUUAUUUGAUUUUUUUAUCAUAUUUUCUCCAUCUUAUUUUGAACUCCUGUGAUUGUGAUGAAGUCCUUAGGACUAUAAUUAAUCGACAAAGGAGGAUUUGUCAUUAAGUCCUUAAAAGUGUUUGCGACCGAAUGAUAUGCUAUUAAUAGGACAAUAGCAAUAUUGAGGAUAGGUCGUUGCAUGCCAUAUGAGUUGGUUAUCCUCUUAAUCAAACACUUUUAAGGACUGGUAUGGCAUACAGAUGAAAUGUAGGAGUAUAUUCACAUCGAACAUGACCAUUUGCCGAGGACUCUGCUGUCAAGAGUAGCUCAUGAAGGGUAUGGGUAUAAGUGUCCCUC
This 377-nucleotide long non-coding RNA is filed under the name Elaeis guineensis (African oil palm). RNAcentral's name for it is "long non-coding RNA (EGUI_LNC080798)". Lineage: Eukaryota; Viridiplantae; Streptophyta; Magnoliopsida; Arecales; Arecaceae. The record is from RNAcentral.